RNAcentral lists this unclassified non-coding RNA (224 nucleotides) under Glomeraceae sp. Its description in RNAcentral is "partial contains 5.8S ribosomal RNA and internal transcribed spacer 2". The stretch from base 1 to 71 matches the Rfam family "5.8S ribosomal RNA", at positions 84 to 154 of the family's 154-position model. Lineage: Eukaryota; Fungi; Glomeromycota; Glomeromycetes; Glomerales; Glomeraceae. The record is from RNAcentral.
GUGAAUCAUCAAAUUUUUGAACGCAAAUUGCGCUUCCUGGCAUUCCGGGAAGUAUGCCUGUUUGAGGGUCAGUAUUAACAAAAAAUCGGGUUGGUUGCAAAUUGUGACGUUUCCGGCCUGUGGUCUAUCUUAACUCUUUUGGUUAAGGGGCUUAAAAUUGACCUUUUUUGCUCUUUUUUAGAUUUACAUAAUUUUUUUUUUUAUUGGUCUAUCUUAAACUACAA